This 270-nucleotide ribosomal RNA is filed under the name uncultured bacterium. RNAcentral's name for it is "partial 16S ribosomal RNA". It matches the Rfam family "Bacterial small subunit ribosomal RNA", at positions 28 to 291 of the family's 1533-position model. The record is from RNAcentral.
GACGAACGCUGGCGGCGCGCUUAACACAUGCAAGUCGAGCGAGAUCUGGUCCUUCGGGACCGGGGAAAGCGGCGAACGGGUGAGUAACACGUGGGUAAUCAACCCUCGGUACCGGGAUAGCCCGAGGAAACUCGGAUUAAUACCGGAUGGCCCAGCAGCUCUUCGGGGCGGCUGGGAAAGGUAGCUUCGGCCUCCGACCGAGGACGAGCCCGCGGCGGAUUAGCUUGUUGGCGGGGUAAUGGCCCACCAAGGCGACGAUCCGUAGCUGGU